Molecule: long non-coding RNA, 2437 nt
Filed under: Amborella trichopoda
Lineage: Eukaryota; Viridiplantae; Streptophyta; Magnoliopsida; Amborellales; Amborellaceae
Description: long non-coding RNA (ATRI_LNC001148)
Source: RNAcentral
GGACCUUGAGUUCUUUUGGGCCUCUUCUAAUGAGAAUAAGUACCCAAUGGUAUUACCAGGCUCCAUAAGUCCAUCAAUGUAGUGAACUAACUAGAUUGAUUGUAUCCAGAUGAUAUAUUCCUCAAAGUUCAAAGAGAGAGUAGAAGUCCAGCCAAACCUCCAUUCCAUACAUAGAAUUAAAGUUUAAUCCCACUUCUCUAGUGAGAAACAUUGGAAAAUAAGAUAGAAGAUAUCAUUAGGGAGAUAACUGACGUUACCACCUUUGGCACAGCAUUCAUGGUUGGAGUUCUCAAAGAGUGUUCAAGGCAUAGGUGUUCAUAUUUAAAAGACCCUGUGUAUCUCAACAAUUUUGCAUCUGAUGGUUACUCUGUUUCUCCAUCUAAAGUCACUCUACUUCCGAGGAUAAAGAGCUUCAGGUUUGAUACCGAUAUAAAUUAUAGUCCUUUGUGUAAGAAAGAAUGAUAGCAUUGAACACAUAGAAGUGGGGAAUUUGUCAGAAACGAAGUCUCAAAAGACCCACACUCGAUCUAUAGUUCGAAGUGAAGUUAGGUGCUGGAAGGCUGUGGCUAAGCCAGUGAUCUUACAUUCCCAAUACUAAGAUCAUGCAGUGAAGUAGGCACAUCAACAGGCUCUGAGGAGAAAAGCACGAGAAACUGAAGUGAGAAGGAUAGCAACAUGGAUAAAAUGGUUACACUGAGUGGCUUUGAAUAGAAGACAGCAAGCAACAGAAGUACUGAAACUUUAGAAGUUUAUUUCAGCUCAUGAAAUCAUAUAUAAAUCAGUAAACAAGAUGCAAGCAAUAGAAAGUAUGGGAUACACAGCUAAACAUAGUCAUAAUGCAAACAAAUGUAAAUACACGUAAAUAUUACAUAACCAUGUAAACCAAGCAAAACUGAUGUUGAACCAAGGAGAAAGAUAGUAUAUGCAACUUAGUUCGUCUUAUCUGGCAAAGUUGGUCAAAAUAGAAGGUCGAAAUGGAACAUACCUAGGUAGAUGAACCUGGUAGAUUGUUAGGUCAAUUUAGGGUAAAAUCCUUCACAGGUUUUUCGUCAAGUUUGUUUUUAGCUUUUGUUUUCAAGUUAUAGCACUCUUAAGUUAACCACUUUCAAAAAAAAAAUUAUACUCCUAAACAUUAGGACUAGACAUGGUUGAAUUGUAAAGGCAAACCAUACCUGGUUGAGCCUUCGACCAGGCACGGAUUUGCAAACCAUGCAACUUAUGAAGAAUAAAUUCCAGCUUAGGAUCUUGGUUUGCUAUGAUGAGAUAACAAAAACAAAAAUUAGAAUACAUAUACAUUGAACUUUAUGCAGGUCAGUUAUUCAUAUGAACCUGACAAAAAAACUGCUAGCAAAGGCAAGUGUCUGUUCUUAAAUUUCUCAUAGUACUUUUCUGAAAAAGGGGAAAUAGUCAAAGUUAAGUCACUUCUAUUUGUAAAAUAAAGUUGGGAAACUUGGCCAAUCCCUUUCUCAUCCACGACUCUUGAGCUUCAUCCCGUUAUUCCUUAGUCUCAAUGUAAAGCGAAUCAAUCACUUUCUAAUUUGAUAAAAAGAAUUCAAUCAAUUCCAUCCCUUUCUCUAGGUCACAUAGAUUCUUCAAGUGUACUCUAUUGAGACAACCUAUCCAAGUAUUAGAAUCAAAAUUCAUUGUUGUCAAAUAAUUUAGUAACUUGUACCAAUUUGAUCAACCAGUCGUAUUUUGCUAGACAGCUGGACCAACAAUAAGAGCAAAAAAAGUCUCAAGAAAUCACAAGUUUACAGGAGCAAUAAACCAAAGAUAAAAUGAGAAAUGAUCAUCAAAAGAGGAUGGAAAAUUCUGGUGCAUAAAUUUUGCUAGUACUCACCCAAAUAUACAGUGUUUCUAAAGAAAGAGAACUUCUUAAUAAGCAAAACAAAGCCCCUGAUCUCAUUCUUUUCCAUUAAAUCCAAACAAAUAUUCGUAGUACUCAUAAAAUUAAACGUGAUAGAGCGUUUGCUAGGUACAUCCCAGCUAAACAAAGCCUACACAAGAACCACAAUCCUUUCCAGGUUGUCAAAUAAAUCUCCUAGAAAUUAAAUAUCAUCAUAAUAACAAUAUUUUUUGCACAGAGUUUACAUCAAUAAAAGCAGAAACAAGAUUCAUGAUCACUCUUAUCCAGAUUCAUUGAAGUGAAAAGAAAGAAGAUUUGGGGCAUGAAUUUUGAUAACAGAGACCUGCUAUAAUCUUCCACUACUACGCGCUUCAACUUUCUACUAUUGGACACCAGAGAACCUGGUCUAGAGAGACUGAAAACCAUUGAAAUCAAAUACAAUUUUUUCAUAUGAAAAAUCAUGAGAAAGCAGCCCGACGUAAUAAAUAUUUCGAUACAUUGAUAUUUGUUUUGGAUUCGCUGACUGCUAUUCAAUAGAUUCAAGGGUCAUUAUAAAAUUUCAUACUAAAACCCAUAAAAAAAAUCCUUAAU